AUUGAACGCUGGCGGCAGGCCUAACACAUGCAAGUCGAGCGGCAGCGGGAAGUAGCUUGCUACUUUGCCGGCGAGCGGCGGACGGGUGAGUAAUGUCUGGGAAACUGCCUGAUGGAGGGGGAUAACUACUGGAAACGGUAGCUAAUACCGCAUGACCUCGCAAGAGCAAAGUGGGGGACCUUCGGGCCUCACGCCAUCGGAUGUGCCCAGAUGGGAUUAGCUAGUAGGUGAGGUAAUGGCUCACCUAGGCGACGAUCCCUAGCUGGUCUGAGAGGAUGACCAGCCACACUGGAACUGAGACACGGUCCAGACUCCUACGGGAGGCAGCAGUGGGGAAUAUUGCACAAUGGGCGCAAGCCUGAUGCAGCCAUGCCGCGUGUGUGAAGAAGGCCUUCGGGUUGUAAAGCACUUUCAGCGAGGAGGAAGGCAUUAAGGUUAAUAACCUUAGUGAUUGACGUUACUCGCAGAAGAAGCACCGGCUAACUCCGUGCCAGCAGCCGCGGUAAUACGGAGGGUGCAAGCGUUAAUCGGAAUUACUGGGCGUAAAGCGCACGCAGGCGGUUUGUUAAGUCAGAUGUGAAAUCCCCGAGCUUAACUUGGGAACUGCAUUUGAAACUGGCAAGCUAGAGUCUUGUAGAGGGGGGUAGAAUUCCAGGU
RNAcentral lists this ribosomal RNA (657 nucleotides) under uncultured Ewingella sp. RNAcentral's name for it is "bacterial SSU rRNA". It matches the Rfam family "Bacterial small subunit ribosomal RNA", at positions 28 to 674 of the family's 1533-position model. The record is from RNAcentral. Lineage: Bacteria; Pseudomonadati; Pseudomonadota; Gammaproteobacteria; Enterobacterales; Yersiniaceae.